GAGCACAGGAACACAGGAGGGAAACAAAGUGCAGACAGACCACAAACAUCCAGAAAACACAACAAAAGCAGACAGAAAUGUCAGAACCACGACAGCUUUAGAGGAGUUGAUGGUCACAUUUACUUGUUUAUAGAGACAUGCCAGCUGUUUCCACAUGUUAUCAGUCUCAGCUAAACUAAAGCUCAAUUAAGAUAACCUUCCUCUUACACUAUCAGUUUACUGACUGAGGACAGGACUCAGGCUUUCUCUUGUUUUAUUUAGAGAAUGAUGAUAUUUUUCUGAUGCAUGUUGACCUGGAGAUAAAAUUCAGUCAGUUCACAGUGAGGUCAGUGUUGAUGAAGUGAUCCAGCAGGGGGUGAUAUAGACCUGUUAAUGAGGACAAAGUCAUGUGAGAUCAUAAAGAUGCAGGAUGUUUAAAAUGAGGAGAAGAAAUGUAAAACAGCUCAAAGUCUAAAUUUUCCAGAUGGACUUUAAAGUGUCACAUGAUCCUCAAGAUGAUGAGCUGUCACUCCACCUCACCUCCUCUGUGUCUGUUUCACAUCAACAGAGAGUCUGAACUGUUUCCAUGCACUCACACUGAAAACUGCAUCAGGAUGAUGUCGCCAAUAACUCUGAUUGUCAUGUUGGGUUUUCUGAGUCAGGAGUGUUCUGCAAACAAUUUCCUGACUCAGGCUGACAAAUCCAAGUCUGUUAGUCUUGGAGGGACUGUGACCAUCAGAGCCACAGGGAGCUCAAAUAUUGGUAGCACUCUCAGUUGGUACCUUCAGAAACCUGGACAGGCUCCCAAACUCCUGAUAUAUUAUUCAUCAAAUCGCUUCUCUGGAACUCCGUCUCGAUUCAGUGGCAGUAGAUCUGGUUCUAGCUACACUCUGACCAUCAGUGGAGUUCAGGCUGAAGAUGCAGGAGAUUACUACUGUCUGGGCUACCAUGGCAGUGGAGUGUUCACACAGUGAUUCAGAGCCGUACAAAAACCUCCCUCAGUCUGACUGAAGUGAAAACGGCCUGCUGCAGGUGCAGAGGGUUGGUGAAGAGACUGUGAUGAGGAGAACUGGUCCAGUGAACACAAGAGUCAUCAAGCAGAACCACAAUGAACCUACAUAAAACUGAAACAGACUCACAGACACUCUUUAGUAUACAGUUUUAAACUCUAAGUUCUUGUAAAUUCAUCAGUGUCUUUAUAAAUAAGAUGUGAAAGUUAAACUCUUGUUGGACUAUAACCAGGUAUGUCAAAAAAUCAUUCCUGAUAGCAACACAGUGUGAAAUAACAACAGUCCGUGUAGGAACACAUUUUGUGUUUUAUACUUUAUACUCCUAAUUUGAUUAAUCCAAAUGAAUUCAUAGCCAAAAUGUAUCAUUUUAUUUUUAAUUGCCAGAAAGAAAUUAAAAAACUAAU
Acanthopagrus latus (yellowfin seabream) is the source of this 1393-nucleotide non-coding RNA. The record is from the annotation of a RefSeq genome assembly. NCBI's taxonomy places the organism in Eukaryota, Metazoa, Chordata, Actinopteri, Spariformes, Sparidae.